Molecule: long non-coding RNA, 1563 nt
Organism: Ictalurus punctatus (channel catfish)
Lineage: Eukaryota; Metazoa; Chordata; Actinopteri; Siluriformes; Ictaluridae
Source: Ensembl
GCUUUAUGCUGGUAUGUUCCAAGCCUCCCCCUUUUCCUACACAGAUGGUACGGUCUAUACUGAGAAGGUCAAAUUACUCUGCACGUCGCGCGCGUCCGGUGAAACUGCGGCUCGUGUCAGAGUAACCGGCUCGGGACAGGCGGCUUUCCGCAGCAUGAAGUGAAUAGAGCAUACCCUGCUCUGAUUGGUCAGAUGUCCCAGUUUAUUGUGAUUGGUCUACUGCUGUCAGCGUGUGCUGAUUGAAAAGGAAACGCCCACUACUAUAGAGUUCCAGCUCCAUCUGACACAAAUGUCUGUUUUACUCUAUCAAUUUGAGCCCGAAUCGGACAACGAUGAUGCAUCGGAAGAUAAACCCGAACCACCAUGGCGACGAGAACGGGACGUUUCUUAGUGGUCCGCUCCCUGAAGCAAAGCCUCUCCUCCGGACUUUCCGGAAGCUUCUGUACUGGACAGAGGAGACAUCUGCAACAUGUUCAGCACCAAAGGUCAGGGUGACAUCACUGUUUUUGUGUUGUUUCUUGUGGACAUACGUGAACGCAAGAAGGAAAAUGUCACAAACCUCUCGGGCAGACCAUUUGGAAAGGCUAAUGCAGCAGAUUCCAAAGUGACAUUUGAGUCAUAGGCUUUAUUUUCAGAUAUGAUUCAGAUUUUGUGAGGAAAACGAAGACCGAGCUGAUUUCAGGUCAGAAAUGAGGCCUUUCCUCGACUGUCGAAGUAUCCGUAACUGCCUUACGUUAUGCUCGAGCAUUUCAUCCACAUUCGAACGUUCUGCAAACCAUGUUCUACUAUUAGUCACCAAUGAAUGAAUGAAUGAACGCCUUUUAUUGUCACUAUACAUAUGUACAAUGAAAUUAAGAGCCACUCCUUUUGGUUCCGUGCAAACAUAUACAUUCAAUACACAAGAAGAAUAAACAGAUAAAUAAACAAGAUAAAUAAACAAAAUAAAUAAACAAGAUAUACAAUAUAUGCAAGAUAGAUAUGCAAGAUAGAUAUUGGGGUGGAUGGGGGAGGUACUAUGAAAUGCACAGUUUUGAGACACUAUAUACAUAUGCUGUGGACUCAGUACAUGUGUUUGUUUAUGAUGGUAAUAGCUUUCGGGAAGAAAACUAUUCUUAAAUCUAAUAGUCCUUGUUCAAGCGUAAGGUAAUUGUGAUGUGUUUACUCAAUGGCAACCUUUUUGAGUGUUACUGUCUAUACAUGACUCUCUCUAAAUCUUCAUGCUGUAACACCAUACUGUAAGGUCUGUUUACUGUGAGGAAAGACACGAACAGAUGGGUUCCUCAGGAAACAUACAUGUUCUAAUUGACAUAAAGGCUGACUGAACAUAACAACCUGUCCAUUCUAACAGCUGAACCUGAAACUUUUAAUAGCUGAACACAAAUCAGCAUCGUCAUCACUUAUAUACCAGCAACUGGGGUGCCUGAGACUGAAGUGUGUCUUCUAACAAAAUAACACCCGUUCAUUAAAAUUCUGACAAGCACAGGGAGGUAAUUAAACCUGUGGGGACGCGUCACGCUUGGCGAAAGCGGCGGUGGGAGGAUGCGGAUUUACACGAGGAAUCAA